UACGAACCGUGCGAACGUUGUUCGGAAUCACUGGGCUUAAAGGGCGCGUAGGCGGCCUGGCGCGUCCGGGGUGAAAGCCUCCAGCUCAACUGGAGAAGUGCCCCGGAUACGGCCAGGCUCGAGGGGGGUAGGGGCGUGCGGAACUUCCGGUGGAGCGGUGAAAUGCGUAGAUAUCGGAAGGAACGCCGGUGGCGAAAGCGGCGCGCUGGACCCCUUCUGACGCUGAGGCGCGAAAGCCAGGGGAGCGAACGGG
RNAcentral lists this ribosomal RNA (253 nucleotides) under uncultured bacterium. RNAcentral describes it as "partial 16S ribosomal RNA". It matches the Rfam family "Bacterial small subunit ribosomal RNA", at positions 524 to 776 of the family's 1533-position model. The record is from RNAcentral.